This 409-nucleotide ribosomal RNA is filed under the name uncultured bacterium. RNAcentral's name for it is "bacterial SSU rRNA". It matches the Rfam family "Bacterial small subunit ribosomal RNA", at positions 358 to 766 of the family's 1533-position model. The record is from RNAcentral.
CGGAUUGCAUGGGGGGAACCCUGACCGCCUGCCGCGUGUGUGAAGAAGGCCUUUUGGUUGUAAAGCACUUUAAGCAAGGAGGAGGCUACUUGGAUUAAUACUCUGAGAUAGUGGACGUUACUCGCAGAAUAAGCACCGGCUAACUCUGUGCCAGCAGCCGCGGUAAUACAGAGGGUGCAAGCGUUAAUCGGAUUUACUGGGCGUAAAGCGUGCGUAGGUGGCCAAUUAAGUCAAAUGUGAAAUCCCUGAGCUUAACUUAGGAAUUGCAUUCGAUACUGGUUGGCUAGAGUAUGGGAGAGGAUGGUAGAAUUCCAGGUGUAGCGGUGAAAUGCGUAGAGAUCUGGAGGAAUACCGAUGGCGAAGGCAGCCAUCUGGCCUAAUACUGACACUGAGGUACGAAAGCAUGGGG